Molecule: ribosomal RNA, 207 nt
Filed under: uncultured bacterium
Lineage: Bacteria
Description: partial 16S ribosomal RNA
Rfam family: Bacterial small subunit ribosomal RNA
Source: RNAcentral
UGCGUAGGCGGCUAGGUAAGUGGGCUGUGAAAUGCCUCGGCUUACCCGAGGAUCUGCAAUCCAUACUGCCUGGCUUGAGUACGGGAGAGGAUGAGGGAAUUCCUGGUGUAGCGGUGAAAUGCGUAGAUAUCAGGAGGAACACCGGUGGCGAAGGCGCUCAUCUGGCCCGAUACUGACGCUGAGGCGCGAAAGCUAGGGGAGCAAACG